CUACGGGGCGCUGCAGUGGGGAAUAUUGCACAAUGGGCGCAAGCCUGAUGCAGCCAUGCCGCGUGUAUGAAGAAGGCCUUCGGGUUGUAAAGUACUUUCAGCGGGGAGGAAGGGAGUAAAGUUAAUACCUUUGCUCAUUGACGUUACCCGCAGAAGAAGCACCGGCUAACUCCGUGCCAGCAGCCGCGGUAAUACGGAGGGUGCAAGCGUUAAUCGGAAUUACUGGGCGUAAAGCGCACGCAGGCGGUUUGUUAAGUCAGAUGUGAAAUCCCCGGGCUCAACCUGGGAACUGCAUCUGAUACUGGCAAGCUUGAGUCUCGUAGAGGGGGGUAGAAUUCCAGGUGUAGCGGUGAAAUGCGUAGAGAUCUGGAGGAAUACCGGUGGCGAAGGCGGCCCCCUGGACGAAGACUGACGCUCAGGUGCGAAAGCGUGGGGAGCAAACAGGAUUAGAUACCCUCGUAGUC
RNAcentral lists this ribosomal RNA (464 nucleotides) under uncultured bacterium. RNAcentral's name for it is "partial 16S ribosomal RNA". It matches the Rfam family "Bacterial small subunit ribosomal RNA", at positions 339 to 795 of the family's 1533-position model. The record is from RNAcentral.